RNAcentral lists this long non-coding RNA (1055 nucleotides) under Callithrix jacchus (white-tufted-ear marmoset). RNAcentral describes it as "lncRNA (ENSCJAG00000078813.1)". The record is from RNAcentral. Lineage: Eukaryota; Metazoa; Chordata; Mammalia; Primates; Cebidae.
CCACAUUUUCCCUGUCUAGUCUAUCAUCAAUGGGUAUUUGGGUUGGUUCCAGGUCUUUGCUAUUGUCAACUGUGCUGCAAUGAACAUUCGUGUGCAUGUGUCCUUAUAGUAGAACGAUUUAUAAUCCUUUGGAUAUAUACCCAGUAAUGGGAUUGCUGUGUCAAAUGGAAUUUCUAUUUCUAGGUCCUUGAGGAAUCGCCACACUGUCUUCCACAAUGGUUGAACUGAUUUACACUCCCACCAGCAGUGUAAAAGUGUUCCUAUUUCUCCACAUCCUCUCCAGCAUCUGUUGUCUCCAGAUUUUUUAAUGAUCGCCAUUCUAACUGUCGGAGGUACCAUAUUGAUCCAGUAAGUAGCAGAUCGCUUUUUGUGGAGGAGACUGAUGUGAUUUCCAUUAGUGGGACAUUCCCCACAGAACAACUACAUCCUCCAGGAGUCCAGAAACCAUAGGAGGAGCAUUUAGACCAUCUACAGCUAAGACUAGACAGACAGCUCAGAGUGCGGAGGCCUGCAUUAGGAAUUUUAGCUCCAGAACAACUUUAGAAAUAAAUCAGGAAUCCUGAGAGCACCCACAGACCUUCUGAAGGGAGUGAACUGCUUGUAAAGGACCCAGGAGUACCCCAAAUACUGUCAAUCAACAAGCUGGGAUUGCCUGCGGAGUGGAGGACCUUCUCACAAAUGGAGGAGCUAAACACAAUCCAUAUACCAGUGUACACCAGUGCUCUUGUUGCUGUUGCCGUUGUUUUCUGUUUGGAAGUAAAGACCGUUCUUGACUCCAGUCUCUUAUAGACGUCCAAGGUGAUUGGCCGAUGACUCCCCAGAUGACGUUAAUAAAAACUUAGCAUAUUGCCAAGCAGCCUAUUUGUUCCCUGCUUAACAGAGACUGCUUUCACGGUUAUGUUAUAAGGAGAAACAACAGAGUGGCAGCAUGCUUCCCCUGGAACAUUGACAUAAACUAUGUCCAGAAGCAACACCUGGCCCUGGCAUGCAUCUUUGUGGGAUAUGGGAAGAUUUGAGACCUAUGCUUUCUCUUUCUGCAUCCUUGGAAUGUAAGU